Molecule: ribosomal RNA, 861 nt
Filed under: Marasmius auranticapitatus
Lineage: Eukaryota; Fungi; Basidiomycota; Agaricomycetes; Agaricales; Marasmiaceae
Description: Marasmius sp. JJSO-2022a partial large subunit ribosomal RNA
Rfam family: Eukaryotic large subunit ribosomal RNA
Source: RNAcentral
ACUGCGAGUGAAGAGGGAAAAGCUCAAAUUUAAAAUCUGGCAGCUUCCUGUCCGAGUUGUAAUUUAGAGAAGUGUUACCCGUGUUGGACCGUGUAUAAGUCUCCUGGAAUGGAGCGUCAUAGAGGGUGAGAAUCCCGUCUUUGACACGGACUACCAAUGCAUUGUGGUGCGCUCUCGAAGAGUCGAGUUGUUUGGGAAUGCAGCUCUAAAUGGGUGGUAAAUUCCAUCUAAAGCUAAAUAUUGGCGAGAGACCGAUAGCGAACAAGUACCGUGAGGGAAAGAUGAAAAGAACUUUGGAAAGAGAGUUAAACAGUACGUGAAAUUGCUGAAAGGGAAACGCUUGAAGUCAGUCGCGUUGGCCGGGGAUCAGCCUUGCUUUUGUGAGGUGUACUUCCUGGUUGACGGGUCAGCAUCAGUUUCGACCACUGGAAAAAGACUUGGGGAAUGUGGCAACUUCGGUUGUGUUAUAGCCCUUUGUCGUAUACAGUGAUUGGGACUGAGGAACUCAGCACGCCGCAAGGCCGGGUUUCGACCACGUUCGUGCUUAGGAUGCUGGCAAAAUGGCUUUAAUCGACCCGUCUUGAAACACGGACCAAGGAGUCUAACAUGCUUGCGAGUGUUUGGGUGGAAAACCCGAGCGCGUAAUGAAAGUGAAAGUUGGGAUCUCUGUCGUGGAGAGCACCGACGCCCGGACCAGAAGUUUACUGACGGAUCUGCGGUAGAGCACGUAUGUUGGGACCCGAAAGAUGGUGAACUAUGCCUGAAUAGGGUGAAGCCAGAGGAAACUCUGGUGGAGGCUCGUAGCGAUUCUGACGUGCAAAUCGAUCGUCGAAUUUGGGUAUAGGGCGAAAGACUAAUCGA